AUUGAACGCUGGCGGCAUGCUUUACACAUGCAAGUCGAACGGCAGCGCGGGCUUCGGCCUGGCGGCGAGUGGCGAACGGGUGAGUAAUACAUCGGAACGUGCCCAGUAGUGGGGGAUAGCUCGGCGAAAGCCGGAUUAAUACCGCAUACGACCUGAGGGUGAAAGCGGGGGAUCUUCGGACCUCGCGCUAUUGGAGCGGCCGAUGGCAGAUUAGCUAGUUGGUGGGGUAAAGGCCUACCAAGGCGACGAUCUGUAGCUGGUCUGAGAGGACGACCAGCCACACUGGGACUGAGACACGGCCCAGACUCCUACGGGAGGCAGCAGUGGGGAAUGUUGGACAAUGGGCGAAAGCAUGAUCCAGCAAUGCCGCGUGUGUGAUGAAGGCCUUCGGGUUGUAAAGCACUUUUGGCGGGAACGAAAAGGACUGUGCCAAUACCACGGUUCGAUGACGGUACCCGCAGAAUAAGCACCGGCUAACUACGUG
Molecule: ribosomal RNA, 484 nt
Filed under: uncultured bacterium
Lineage: Bacteria
Description: partial 16S ribosomal RNA
Rfam family: Bacterial small subunit ribosomal RNA
Source: RNAcentral